UCUGAGCCGGAGGAAAGGAGGUGACGAGGUGGAGGCGGGUGGAAUCGGUCCCGGGGAAGAGGCUGGGAGAGCAGGCGUGGAGGAGGGAGACAGGAAGACGGGAAGAAGAAAGGGAAAAACGGAUACAAAGAGAAGACGGGCAUUUGUAAACCAGGAAGAGGGUCUUCACCAAGAACCGGACCAUGCUGGCAACCUGAUCUCAGACUUGCAGCUUCCAGAGAGAAAUAAACAUUUCUUGUUUAAGCCA
Molecule: long non-coding RNA, 247 nt
Organism: Vicugna pacos (alpaca)
Lineage: Eukaryota; Metazoa; Chordata; Mammalia; Artiodactyla; Camelidae
Source: RefSeq, a predicted model, not a curated record